This 407-nucleotide ribosomal RNA is filed under the name uncultured bacterium. RNAcentral describes it as "partial 16S ribosomal RNA". It matches the Rfam family "Bacterial small subunit ribosomal RNA", at positions 28 to 526 of the family's 1533-position model. The record is from RNAcentral.
GACGAACGCUGGCGGCGUGCCUAAUACAUGCAAGUAGGACGCAGUUGCGAACGGGUGAGUAACGCGUAGGUAACUACCUAUUAGAGGGGGAUAACUAUUGGAAAUGAUAGCUAAUACCGUAUCCUAGUAGCUGGACCUGUUUUGUAUUAGCUAGUAGGUAGGGUAAUGGCCUACCUAGGCAACGAUACGUAGCCGACCUGAGAGGGUGAUCGGCCACACUUGGACUAAGAAACGGGCCAGACUCCUGCGGUAGGCAGCAGUAGGGAAUCUUCGGCAAUGGGGGGAACCCUGACCGAGCAACGCCGCGGGAAUGAAGAAGGUUUUCGGAUCGUAAAGCUCUGUUGUUAAGGAAGCGGUACUUAACCAGGAAGGGACGGCUAACUACGUGCCAGCAGCCGCGGUAAUAC